This 451-nucleotide ribosomal RNA is filed under the name uncultured bacterium. RNAcentral's name for it is "bacterial SSU rRNA". It matches the Rfam family "Bacterial small subunit ribosomal RNA", at positions 354 to 796 of the family's 1533-position model. The record is from RNAcentral.
GUGGGGAAUAUUGGACAAUGGGGGGAACCCUGAUCCAGCCAUGCCGCGUGUGUGAAGAAGGCCUUUUGGUUGUAAAGCACUUUAAGCGAGGAGGAGGCUACCGAGAUUAAUACUCUUGGAUAGUGGACGUUACUCGCAGAAUAAGCACCGGCUAACUCUGUGCCAGCAGCCGCGGUAAUACAGAGGGUGCAAGCGUUAAUCGGAUUUACUGGGCGUAAAGCGCGCGUAGGUGGCCAAUUAUGUCAAAUGUGAAAUCCCCGAGCUUAACUUGGGAAUUGCAGUCGAUACUGGUUGGCUAGAGUAUGGGAGAGGAUGGUAGAAUUCCAGGUGUAGCGGUGAAAUGCGUAGAGAUCUGGAGGAAUACCGAUGGCGAAGGCAGCCAUCUGGCCUAAUACUGACACUGAGGUGCGAAAGCAUGGGGAGCAAACAGGAUUAGAAACCCGGGUAGUCC